This 253-nucleotide ribosomal RNA is filed under the name uncultured bacterium. Its description in RNAcentral is "partial 16S ribosomal RNA". It matches the Rfam family "Bacterial small subunit ribosomal RNA", at positions 524 to 776 of the family's 1533-position model. The record is from RNAcentral.
UACGGAGGGGGCUAGCGUUGUUCGGAAUUACUGGGCGUAAAGGGCGUGUAGGCGGCGGAUCAAGUCAGGCGUGAAAGCCCCGGGCUCAACCUGGGAUGUGCGCUUGAUACUGAUUUGCUAGAGUCCGGGAGAGGCGAGUGGAAUAUCCAGUGUAGAGGUGAAAUUCGUAGAUAUUGGAUGGAACACCAGUGGCGAAGGCGGCUCGCUGGACCGGAACUGACGCUGAGGCGCGAAAGCGUGGGGAGCAAACAGG